This 406-nucleotide ribosomal RNA is filed under the name uncultured bacterium. Its description in RNAcentral is "bacterial SSU rRNA". It matches the Rfam family "Bacterial small subunit ribosomal RNA", at positions 354 to 777 of the family's 1533-position model. The record is from RNAcentral.
GUGGGGGAUAUUGCACAAUGGGGGCAACCCUGAUGCAGCGACGCCGCGUGGAGGAAGAAGGUCUUCGGAUUGUAAACUCCUGUCCGAGGGGACGAUAAUGACGGUACCCUUGGAGGAAGCACCGGCUAACUACGUGCCAGCAGCCGCGGUAAAACGUAGGGUGCGAGCGUUGUCCGGAAUUACUGGGUGUAAAGGGAGCGCAGGCGGAUCGUCAAGUUGGGAGUGAAAACUACGGGCUCAACCCGUAACUUGCUUUCAAAACUGGCGGUCUUGAGUGGUGUAGAGGUAGGCGGAAUUCCCGGUGUAGCGGUGGAAUGCGUAGAUAUCGGGAGGAACACCAGUGGCGAAGGCGGCCUACUGGGCACUAACUGACGCUGAGGCUCGAAAGCAUGGGUAGCAAACAGGA